UUGGGGAAUCUUCCGCAAUGGACGAAAGUCUGACGGAGCAACGCCGCGUGGGUGAAGAAAUCCUUCGGGAUGUAAAGCCCUGUUGUAUGGGAAGAGCGGAAGACGGUACCAUACGAGGAAGCCACGGCUAACUACGUGCCAGUAGCCGCGGUAAUACGUAGGUGGCAAGCGUUGUCCGGAAUUAUUGGGCGUAAAGCGCGCGCAGGCGGGAUAUCAAGUCUGUCUUAAAAGUGCGAGGCUCAACCUCGUGAGGGGACAGAAACUGGUAUUCUUGAGUGUCGGAGAGGAAAGUGGAAUUCCAAGUGUAGCGGUGAAAUGCGUAGAGAUUUGGAAGAACACCAGUGGCGAAGGCGACUUUCUGGACGAUGUCUGACGCUGAGGCGCGAAAGCUAGGGGAGCGAACGGGAUUAGAUACCCCAGUAGUCC
Molecule: ribosomal RNA, 426 nt
Filed under: uncultured bacterium
Lineage: Bacteria
Description: partial 16S ribosomal RNA
Rfam family: Bacterial small subunit ribosomal RNA
Source: RNAcentral